UACGGGGGGGGCAAGCGUUGUUCGGAAUUACUGGGCGUAAAGCGUGCGUAGACGGUUAUUUAAGUCGGGUGUGAAAGCCCCGGGCUCAACCUGGGAAUUGCAUUCGAGACUGAGUAGCUAGGGUGCGGAAGAGGGAAGCGGAAUUUCCGGUGUAGCGGUGAAAUGCGUAGAUAUCGGAAGGAACACCAGUGGCGAAAGCGGCUUCCUGGUCCAGCACCGACGUUCAGGCACGAAAGCGUGGGGAGCAAACAGG
Molecule: ribosomal RNA, 253 nt
Filed under: uncultured bacterium
Lineage: Bacteria
Description: partial 16S ribosomal RNA
Rfam family: Bacterial small subunit ribosomal RNA
Source: RNAcentral